This 369-nucleotide long non-coding RNA is filed under the name Nicotiana benthamiana. Its description in RNAcentral is "long non-coding RNA (NBEN_LNC015141)". Lineage: Eukaryota; Viridiplantae; Streptophyta; Magnoliopsida; Solanales; Solanaceae. The record is from RNAcentral.
UCAGUAUACAAUGGCUUCCCAAUCGCACUUGCCAACUUACUCAAUACCUCCACAGACCAAUACCCUACAGGAAGACCUGGGAAUCGAAUCCAAAUAGGGAUAGUGCUGAGCACACUAGCCUGAAAAUUAAAAUCAACUUCCCAUGGUCUUAGUACCAUAGGCUUACUCCUAAAAGUAUAUGGGCCUGAUUGCAUGACUGUAUCUCUAUCUUCAGCACUGUUGAAUCUAAAGAUACAAUACCCUUCUGCAUGCACUAGAACUUGAGGUUUGGUGACAAAAUUCCAAACAUGUAUAACAAAGUUUUCCAUAUUUUGUUCACUAGGCCUAUCUCCAAUUACAAAUCCAAUCAAUGCAUUUUGCCAAUACUCC